Long non-coding RNA from Psammomys obesus (fat sand rat), 665 nucleotides. RefSeq lists it as uncharacterized. The transcript is spliced from 2 exons. Lineage: Eukaryota; Metazoa; Chordata; Mammalia; Rodentia; Muridae. The record is from RefSeq and is a predicted model, not a curated record.
ACGAGCGCUGGUGGAAGGCUCAACAGGACUGAAGGGUCACAGGGCUGGAUUUCAGGCUGCACCCAGCAGGGUGAGCAGAGAAUAGAACAGGGCAGAUGUCACCUGCUGCCUCGGGAGUCCAGGUCUGCCUGGAGCCCGCAUGGACAGGAGAGCUCUAGGUGGCCGGAACCAGCCACCACCAGUACAGACUGAGAACCUGGCCCCGGCUGACACAGCUUCCUGGAAUACAGGUGUGGGAGAUUGGGGCUGAUUCAGAUGGUCCACAGCAGCAGACUAUUUGCCUCGUGCGGGCUCUGAGAGGGGCUCUUUGCCAGCUGCAGAGAGCUUAAUUCUGAGGGCUCUGGAGACGGAACAAAUGCCGGAGCCCAGAGAAAGGGGGCUCUGAGAAAGAAGAAGGCUGCUGGUGCUUCCUGCCUGCUGCUCCUGGUUGCUGUUGAUGGAAGUUUGAUGAGAAAAAGUUGGGAAUAUCCUGAAACAAAGAUUGGACUUGCCCCCAAGAAACCCAACAACCCUAACCAGCAGGAAGUAGCCAAAAAGAACUCUGUCCCCUCUCCCCACUAAACUUUUUUCUCUCCUACCUGGUGUUGGGGUGUAGGAAAGGAUUGGGGUGGAGAAGGGAGAAAGAGGCAUAAGAAACGUAAAUAAAAAUAGUUUUAAAAAGUACA